UCUUGUGAGUUGUCGAGAGCGAUAUUGUCGUACAGCGCGUCCUGGACAGCGGGAAGCUCGAGCGAGGACCGACGCACCUGUUUCGGCGAAUCGAGCCAGUCGAGU
RNAcentral lists this unclassified non-coding RNA (105 nucleotides) under Rhodotorula toruloides. Lineage: Eukaryota; Fungi; Basidiomycota; Microbotryomycetes; Sporidiobolales; Sporidiobolaceae. The record is from RNAcentral.